This is a non-coding RNA of Meleagris gallopavo (turkey), 3541 nucleotides long. The record is from RefSeq and is a predicted model, not a curated record. NCBI's taxonomy places the organism in Eukaryota, Metazoa, Chordata, Aves, Galliformes, Phasianidae.
UUUUUUUCUUUUUUGCAGGAAAACAUUUAUAAAUAUAUAUGUAUAUAUUUACAUAUAUUUAAUCUUGCGAUUCCAAAUCUGGAAGAGAAAACAUCAUUCUUUCAUCAAAGGAGAAAUUCACCCACUGACCUGGAGGUAAUUUGAAUAAUGAACUAAGCUAUUUUGAUGUUUGUGUCAACAGCACAGAAGUGUCAGAUUCAGUUCUCCUUACAUCCAAAAGGAUAGAUUUGAGAUCAAAGUGCCUUCAGUAACGUCAGCGUGUCAGACUCAUGUUAUUGAGGGAAAUCUUCCUUGAGCUAUCAGAUCUGCUGUCAUAUGAAAGCCAAUUGAUAUCUUCAUUAUAUCCCCAUCCAUGUGGAAAGGGAGGUGAACGUCAAUGCAAUGAGUUCCUUCACUUGUUUUUUCUCUUGGGAUUUAAAUAUGUCAUUAUCUGUCAAUGAAAUGAAUUUGCCUAUCUGAAUACAUGAAGGAUAGCAAGUAGCAAGACUGAAAGUGGACAGUGAGGAAUUCUGUGCCGGUGUCUGCUCAGGAAAUCUGCAGUGUUGGAGGUUAGGGGUGGCAAAGAGGAUGAGGAAUCUGUUAGCACAAGAAUGAGGAGGAGGAGGAGGUUAGGAUAUCCUAAGGCAAUUGCACUGCUGACUCGCAUCAAUUACUGCAGCAAUUUUGCCUCUAAGUCCUUGAUUGACAGCAAGGGGAAGUAGUAAGUCUUCUUGCUUGAAGUCUCACAAAGAGAUGUGCAGAGUCCUGGUAGAUUAGCCACGGGUUGGUAGAUGGUUGCUCCCACACUGAUGAGUAGCAGCAUGAUGCUUAAUCAAAGUAAAGGUUUUCUUUAGAGGAAAACAAAGAGAAGCAGCUUGAAUGACUGACUACUGGAUUUGGGCAGGAGAUGGUCUUCCAAACUGGAAGGUCUUCAGAAUUGUCCAUCAUCUACGGGUCUUGGCUCUGAUGUUUUACUGCUGCCAGAUGCAAGGGUUUUGAGCACUGUUAUGGAAUUGGCAGACAUGAGCAGUAUUUGCCUGCCUCCCCAACUAAAAAUGCCAGCAUCCAGUGACUCAAAUCUCUGUAGCUGACUUGCUCUUUUCUUGGGUUACCCAUCAUGGUAAGGUAGAAUGUGAACUUCAGCACUUUGCUUGGGAAACUACAUCAGGGAGCACAUCUGAUUUACUCAGAAAACGUCUCAUUAUUUCUGACAUUUGAAAUCAGAAACCAAAUGUUAGCUGCGUAUAAGAGUUUUGAUAGUAUUAUAGUCUUCUGUGGCAACCAAUUAACAGCAGGCUCUGAGAUUGGCAAAUAUACAUCGAAGAGGACCAACUGGCUUUGACAGAAUCUGACUAUUGAUAUAGUCUUAACGAACACUAUGUUUUCUGAUCACCUUGGUCCAUAUUCUUGAGCCAUUACAGGCACAGAUGAUAAGAAUCUGAAUUUGGCAGUGGGUGUUUAGCAAGAAAGUGAAUGGCAAGAAUGGAAGAGCUGUGGAAGCAAGAGGCCAGCAUUAAUGUAGUAGGCGAGAAUAGCAGUGACAACUGACACAGAGCAAAAACACCUUUGAAAACCAUAAAACCAGAAAAGCAUUAUCAGAAAGACCUGUCAAAACUGAUUAAAAUCGGGGAACUAGCAGAAAUCACAAGAAUGAGCAGGACCACACACACAGUUUUUGAUGAUGGCUGAACAGAGUCCCCCACAUUGACCACCACCAGACAGCACUGGAGGACCACAAAGCCCAAGAACUGGGGGGUGUCCACAGUGAUAGGAUUUGGAAUUUUUCUCCAGUGGGAGAAACAGCUGCCAAAUUCAGCAAACUUUGUUGGUGGAGCUGAUGUGGCUGCUCUGUAAGAAAAUACAGUAAUGUUUCUUUAGGAACCCAGCAGACAACUGGAGAAAAGAUGCAGGGGAAAAAGAGAAACCUUCUGCAACAUAGGUCUGGCUUCAAUACACAAUGCGUUUUGCAUGUCUCAGGUGUGUACUAUCUCUAUUUGCACAUUUUAAAAUCCUGCAUAGUAGCAUAAACAGGAUGGCACAAGGAGGUUGUAGGAGUCGAGAGAACUGUGCUAUGAAAGGAAGAGACCCUCAUCAGUAUUUCUGCCAUCAAUACUUUGGGGAGGAAAGAAAAGAGAAAAUCCCAAACCCCAAGCCCCACACUAAAUAUGCACUUGUUCUCUUGGGCCGGCAGCCUCGAAGUUCAUAAACUCGGAAUUACCUUGUUUUGGAAUAAGCUGUUCUGAAAAUAAUUUCCAAUGGCUUCAUCGAGUUUGCUUUGCUGGUGGCAGCCCUUCGGCUCCAAGCUGGCACGUGUACGAAGCUCUUUGAACAAGUUUUGACCUUCCUUUUGCCCCUCUGCCCAUCAAGCCAGGUAAUGACAUGCUUUGUAUUGCACAGAACACAUACAAUUGACAAGUUCAUAGUGGUGUUUAAAUAUUAAACAAUCUAGACAGGCUUUUGAGUCUUAUGCCACCAGGAAAAGGCUCAGACCAUACCCAUCUUUGAAAUUGGGCUGCGGGAUCAUUUGCACAGUAAGACAGACAAUAAGACUUGUAUACAUUGCCAUGCAACAGAAGAGACCCCGAACCGCCAGCCCUAAGUGGAAAGUUUAUUUCUAAGCACAAUAUAUGGAAAAACCAAACCAACAAACCCCACAGAUAUAGAAAAGGUUGUAGCAAAUCCCUGGUCAAGUAGGACUUCAUGUCGGUCACUACCCUGCACCUCACAGCUGUUUAAAAUGUCAUGCAAUGGAGGAGAGGGCACUCAGAGGACACCCUCUGCUUCAGAUCGAGGCGGAUCUCCAAGCAGGAGAGGGCCCGUGGUUCUCCUGCUGAGCACUUCGGACUGUAACCAGCAAACAGGCAGCGCUGCUCACCCCCACCACGCACCUCGCGACUCCCUGUGGCACUUCAGCAGGCUUUGCCAACGUGGAUUCUCACAACACCCCUGUGAGGCUUUCUACUCUGAUGCUUGCUUUGUGGCAGCUGCAUCAGCAAAAGAGCUCAACCCCAGAGAGCUGGGAGAUACACUCCGAGGACUGAGGACAGUGAGCAGGAAAUUGGAAACAUGGAUCGCCUUCUGUUGCAGAUGAAAGGUGGAGAAGGACAGGGAUGGUAAAAGCAACAAGGUGAGUAGAGAAAACACUACAUGCCAAAUGGAAAAUAACAAUAUCAGUAGGGAAAGAAAUUUUAUUUCCAAGAUUGUAAGAGAAUAUUACAAACAAUGGAGAGUAAAAAAGCUCAAACUCUAAAAACUAUUUAAAAAGUACUUGACAGUGUCCCUUUAAUAUCCACAAAUGAUUCAGCCAUUGUGCAUUGAAAGAGAACAUUCCUGAAGAGCAACAAGUACCUUUGUGGAUGUAUCCCAGAGAAGGAGACUUAUUAGAAGUGUUAUACAUUUGAUCAGCAACUGUGCUCCCUCUUCAGACUAACUCUCUGUUGAACUAUUGAAUGGAAUAGACUCUGUAACAAACAAACUGGAUGUGAAAGGUUCAGCCUACAAGACUGAGACUGUUACAAAUUGAGCAGCAGGGAUAAAGACACUAAAAAAAAAAAAAAAAAAA